This 464-nucleotide ribosomal RNA is filed under the name uncultured bacterium. RNAcentral's name for it is "partial 16S ribosomal RNA". It matches the Rfam family "Bacterial small subunit ribosomal RNA", at positions 339 to 795 of the family's 1533-position model. The record is from RNAcentral.
CUACGGGUUGCUCCAGUGGGGAAUAUUGCACAAUGGGCGCAAGCCUGAUGCAGCCAUGCCGCGUGUAUGAAGAAGGCCUUCGGGUUGUAAAGUACUUUCAGCGGGGAGGAAGGGAGUAAAGUUAAUACCUUUGCUCAUUGACGUUACCCGCAGAAGAAGCACCGGCUAACUCCGUGCCAGCAGCCGCGGUAAUACGGAGGGUGCAAGCGUUAAUCGGAAUUACUGGGCGUAAAGCGCACGCAGGCGGUUUGUUAAGUCAGAUGUGAACUCCCCGGGCUCAACCUGGGAACUGCAUCUGAUACUGGCAUGCUUGAGUCUCGUAGAGGGGGGUAGAAUUCCAGGUGUAGCGGUGAAAUGCGUAGAGAUCUGGAGGAAUACCGGUGGCGAAGGCGGCCCCCUGGACGAAGACUGACGCUCAGGUGCGAAAGCGUGGGGAGCAAACAGGAUUAGAUACCCCCGUAGUC